CACACCGCCCGUCACACCAUGGAAGUUUACUGCACCAGAAGCAGGUAGCCUGACCGCAAGGGGGGCGCCUACCACGGUGUGGUCAAUGACUGGGGUGAAGUCGUAACAAGGUACCC
RNAcentral lists this ribosomal RNA (116 nucleotides) under uncultured bacterium. RNAcentral's name for it is "partial 16S ribosomal RNA". It matches the Rfam family "Bacterial small subunit ribosomal RNA", at positions 1386 to 1501 of the family's 1533-position model. The record is from RNAcentral.